GCGCUCACUUCGGAAGCAUCUCUACUAAAAUUGGAACAAUACAGGGAAGAUUAGCGUGACCCC
RNAcentral lists this small nuclear RNA (63 nucleotides) under Vulpes vulpes (red fox). The record is from RNAcentral. Lineage: Eukaryota; Metazoa; Chordata; Mammalia; Carnivora; Canidae. RNAcentral also lists the same sequence under 1 other name.